UACAGAGGUCCCAAGCGUUGUUCGGAUUCACUGGGCGUAAAGGGUGCGUAGGCGGUCGGGUAAGUCUGGCGUGAAAUCUCCAAGCCUAACUUGGAAACUGCGUUGGAUACUAUCCGGCUCGAGGAAUGGAGGGGAGACUGGAAUACUUGGUGUAGUAGUGAAAUGCGUAGAUAUCAAGUGGAACACCAGUGGCGAAGGCGAGUCUCUGGACAUUUCCUGACGCUGAGGCACGAAAGCCAGGGGAGCGAACGGG
RNAcentral lists this ribosomal RNA (253 nucleotides) under uncultured bacterium. Its description in RNAcentral is "partial 16S ribosomal RNA". It matches the Rfam family "Bacterial small subunit ribosomal RNA", at positions 524 to 776 of the family's 1533-position model. The record is from RNAcentral.